AGAGUUUGAUCAUGGCUCAGGAUGAACGCUAGCGGCAGGCUUAACACAUGCAAGUCGAGGGGUAUAUUUCUUCGGAGAUAGAGACCGGCGCACGGGUGCGUAACGCGUAUGCAAUCUACCUUUCACAGAGGGAUAGCCCAGAGAAAUUUGGAUUAAUACCUCAUAGUAUUAUGAAAUGGCAUCAUUUUAUAAUUAAAGUCACAACGGUGAAAGAUGAGCAUGCGUCCCAUUAGCUAGUUGGUAAGGUAACGGCUUACCAAGGCUACGAUGGGUAGGGGUCCUGAGAGGGAGAUCCCCCACACUGGUACUGAGACACGGACCAGACUCCUACGGGAGGCAGCAGUGAGGAAUAUUGGACAAUGGGCGCAAGCCUGAUCCAGCCAUGCCGCGUGCAGGAUGACGGUCCUAUGGAUUGUAAACUGCUUUUGCACAGGAAGAAACAACUCUACGUGUAGAGUCUUGACGGUACUGUGAGAAUAAGGAUCGGCUAACUCCGUGCCAGCAGCCGCGGUAAUACGGAGGAUCCAAGCGUUAUCCGGAAUCAUUGGGUUUAAAGGGUCCGUAGGCGGUUUAGUAAGUCAGUGGUGAAAGCCCAUCGCUCAACGGUGGAACGGCCAUUGAUACUGCUAGACUUGAAUUAUUAGGAAGUAACUAGAAUAUGUAGUGUAGCGGUGAAAUGCUUAGAGAUUGCAUGGAAUACCAAUUGCGAAGGCAGGUUACUACUAAUGGAUUGACGCUGAUGGACGAAAGCGUGGGUAGCGAACAGGAUUAGAUACCCUAGUAGUCC
RNAcentral lists this ribosomal RNA (787 nucleotides) under uncultured bacterium. Its description in RNAcentral is "bacterial SSU rRNA". It matches the Rfam family "Bacterial small subunit ribosomal RNA", at positions 8 to 796 of the family's 1533-position model. The record is from RNAcentral.